UUCGUGGAAAGGCAGGCCUCUCCUGGCGAGUCAAGCCUCCUUAUCGUAGUCGAGCGUCUGGUCUUCUGUCCUUUACGUUUUAUUUGUUUUUCUUCGUACGAACAGAUGGGCGAGCAAGACGACGCCGUUUUGCAUCCUCCAUUUUGUCGUUUAUGUGCGUCUCUCCAACGCUUGUGCUUCUGCGUCUAUAGUGUGCGUGGGAUACGGGUGCAUGAACCUUGCAUGUGUUGCCUCUGUCCAUUGCAGCUAUUUUGUCUUUUUGCCUUAUUCAGCUUCGUAGCUACGCCUUUCCUCUUUUGUUUGUUUCGGGUGUGAGGUUUUCUUGGGCUACGAGGUUCACAUAUUUUUCCUAUCAAUUCACCCACUGAUCAUCUUCGUUUCCUCGGUCUCAGCUUCGUUGGUUUUUUCUACACUGAUUGUCUCUCUUAUUUUCGGUUGUUUUUCUCCUUCCGCAGUUGUUGCACUUCUUCAUCUUGGUUUGGGUUAUUUGAUUUCAAUGUCGAAAUUACAAUUGCAGGGUUUGUGCAAGGUUAUCGAAGUUGUUUACGCCGAGCUUCGUUGGUUCUUCCUUCAUCGAAAGUGGUGAGUUUGUCGGAGAUUGUUGAAAGCGUCUGCCAUCUACGUUUGACGAAACUGCUGGUAAGUUGAUUUCCGUUGGGGGUGAUGGUCUUGCUUUGUUUUGGACUCAUGUUCUGCUUUGGGUUCUUCCCAUAUCCUUCUGAUUAUGAUGAUUAUUAUAAUUAUAUUCCUUCAAAUUUGUAUGAAAGUAUGCUUGAUUUGUGUUGUUUGGUUAGUGCAUACAUAGGAACUUAUGUUAUCCUUUUGUCUGUUAAUUUUAAUCCUCUUUCGCCAUUCUCUUGGAUUCCAAAAUAAAUUCCCCUUCGACGCCUUGCACGGGUGUUCAUCAACAAAGGGGACUGAUUUGGCAACUCAAUUUGUGCAUCUUCAAUUGUGAGGUAAAUGUGCUCUCUUAUUGAUCUUUGUGCAUAACUUUUUCCAUCUUUACUGUUACAAUUAUAUCCAUGUUAAUUGUUUAUAGUUUUUGUAAUUACUGCUAAGUAUUUACGAGGCUUAACAUCCUAUUUGAUUCAAUUCUUAUAAUGCUAUGCAAUGCAAUCCGAAAUUGUACCGAUUGACUUUGAAUUUCAAUGUUUUUUUUGUUCAUCAAUUGUUUCGGGUCUUCGAUUUUGUGUUUCUGCUUUUGGUUUUGUGAAAAUUUUACAGUCUCGGGGCAGCUAUACCAACAGAUGCCUGCAACACGAUUUAGGAUUUUCUUCUCUUCUAAGUUCUAAGCUAGGUCCUGGAUGGAUGCUAUGAGGGAUAUCAGUGAGACAAAUGAGACAUCAACGUCCUCAAAG
Tripterygium wilfordii is the source of this 1358-nucleotide long non-coding RNA. RefSeq lists it as uncharacterized. NCBI's taxonomy places the organism in Eukaryota, Viridiplantae, Streptophyta, Magnoliopsida, Celastrales, Celastraceae. The record is from RefSeq and is a predicted model, not a curated record. The transcript is spliced from 3 exons.